UCUCUUCUUUUGACACAAUCGACGAAGCCUAGUGUCGACUGUAUUUUCUCUCUCUUCUCCUCACAACGGUGAAGCCUAGUAUCAACUAUAUUUUCUCUCUCUUCCUCAAGCACAGUCGACGAAGCCUAGCAUCGACUGUAUCUUCUCUCUCCUCAUCUCUAUAUAACACAGUCGGUGAAGCCUAGUGCCGAUUGCAUUUUCUCUCUCUUUCUUCUAACACGGCCUGCAAUGCUUAGUGCCGAUUGCGUCUUCCUGCCCUCUCUCUCUUUUAUUCUCUCGCCAUUCAUACUCUUCUCUUCCUUUCUUCUCCCUCCCUCCUUAUGUUCCCUUCUUGUAUUAAUUCACUUCUUAUUCUUUCUUCAUAACCAUCAUUAUGUUACUCUUUCAUUUGACUAAGAGGCAUUGAGGUUAGACUCUCACGAUAGUCCUGUCGUCUAGCCAUAAUGAUGUUGUGCCAUGAUUACUUGGCCCACUUUAUUACCACGACAGACUAACCAUUGUGCCUAGCUAGUUGGUACUGGUAAUGAUGAUUAGUAGUAAUCAUGUGAGCCGGUCUUAGUUACCAAACCCGUUUUACUACCACGUCAGGCCAAUUAUUCAUCAGCUUAGUCGCCGCUCUGAUCCUUCCGCUCAGUGAAAUUCUUC
RNAcentral lists this long non-coding RNA (645 nucleotides) under Amborella trichopoda. Its description in RNAcentral is "long non-coding RNA (ATRI_LNC001736)". The record is from RNAcentral. Lineage: Eukaryota; Viridiplantae; Streptophyta; Magnoliopsida; Amborellales; Amborellaceae.